Molecule: non-coding RNA, 177 nt
Organism: Arachis ipaensis
Lineage: Eukaryota; Viridiplantae; Streptophyta; Magnoliopsida; Fabales; Fabaceae
Source: RefSeq, a predicted model, not a curated record
AUGAAGAGUGCCCUGACGACUAACCCUAACCAUGUCUUCAUUGUGCCUCACUGUACCCUAACCCUCUUUUCAUUGUGCUUCACGAAGAACCGCUAACCACGACGAAGAACCCUUAACCGCGACGAAGAGCCCCUAACAGCACUCUGUGAAGAACGUCGCUGGUCACCGGCGCUCGCA